RNAcentral lists this ribosomal RNA (267 nucleotides) under uncultured bacterium. RNAcentral describes it as "partial 16S ribosomal RNA". It matches the Rfam family "Bacterial small subunit ribosomal RNA", at positions 91 to 354 of the family's 1533-position model. The record is from RNAcentral.
CGGACCGGCGCACGAGUGAGUAACACGUAUGCAACCUGGCCGUGACAGAUGGAUAACCGGGAGAAAUCCCGCCUAAUACAGCAUGACGCCGGGAAGGGACAUCCCUUUCCGGCCAAAGGGGGCGACUCCGGUCACGGAUGGGCAUGCGGCGCAUUAGGUAGUUGGUGGGGCAACGGCCCACCAAGCCGACGAUGCGUAGGAGUUCUGAGAGGAAGGUCCCCCACAUUGGAACUGAGACACGGUCCAAACUCCUACGGGAGGCAGCAG